Molecule: small nuclear RNA, 101 nt
Filed under: Carlito syrichta (Philippine tarsier)
Lineage: Eukaryota; Metazoa; Chordata; Mammalia; Primates; Tarsiidae
Source: RNAcentral
UGGCUUUGGCAGUCCAUAGACUAAAACUGGAAUGAUACAGGAAGAUUAGUAUGACCCUGGGCUAGGGUGACAUGCACAUUCAUGAAGUGUUCCAUAUUUUG